CAGAGACUCCAACAACAACAACAGCCACUCCUACAACUACCACAGAGGUUCCAACAACGACAACAGGUGCUCCCACUACAACAUCAGCUGGCCCUACAACUACCACAGAGACUCCAACAACAACAACAGCCACUCCUACAACUACCACAGAGGCUCCAACAACAACAACAGCCUCUACAACAACAACCACAACUUCUCCCACUACAACCACAGCUGCACCUACAACUACCACAGAGGCUCCAACAACAACAACAGUCACUCCUACAACUAGCAUAGAGGCUCCAACAACAUCCACAGCUUCUCCCACUAUAACCACAGCUGGUCCUACAACUACCACAGAGGUUCCAACAACGACAACAGCUGCUCCCACUACAACCAUAGCUGCACCUACAACUACAACAGGUGCUCCCACCACAACCACAGCUGCACCUAUAACAGCAACAGAGGCUCCAACAACAACGGCUGCUCCCAUUACAACCACAUCUGCACCUACAACUACCACAGAGGCUCCAUCAACAACAACGGCUCCUCCUAUUACAACCACAGCUGGCCCUACAACGAGCACAGAGGCUCCAACAACAACAACAGCUGCUCACACUACAACCACAGCUGCACCUACAACUACCACAGAGGGUCCAACAACAACAACAGCCACUCCUACUACAACCACAGCUGCACCUAUAACCGCAACAGACGCACCUACAACUACAUCAGGUUCUCCCACCACAACAUCAGCUGCACUUAUAACUGCAACAGAUGCUCCAACAAUAACAACAGCCACUCCUACGACUAGCACAGGUGCAUCAACAGACCCCCCUCAACAAAAUGAGGGUUACCUCUUUCUGAGGAUGCGUUUGGUGCGGGUUUUCGUAAUCGAAUACAACAACCCAAAGUCGUCGCAAUAUCAAGAAUUGGCUGCCAAUGUCACAGCUGAGCUGAAUCGGGGAUACAGGAUGCGAUACCCUUUCAGUUUCCUGAGAUGCAUAAUUAUUGGAUUUUGGCCUGGGUCAGUGGGUGUCACAGCCAACUUGAUAUUCCAGAAUAAGAGUGUAGUUCCGAACAUCACCAGUGCAGAAGACUCAUUAAAAACGUCUUUAAAUGAAUCCCUGGUUUUCCUGAAUGUUAUCAUUGGCAGUAUUGUUGCAGCUGAACCAAAUGCCUCCAGUACUGUAACUCCUACAACUGUGGAGGCAACUAAUUCCACAGUAGCACCUACAACCACAAGUACAGCUGCAAGUACCAGUACAACAACGCAAACAACUCAAACUGCCACAGCACUCACCACCACCAGCGGUGCAAUGGCAAGGAGCAGACCUGUAGAUAUGGUCACUUUUCUACUACCAAUCACUUUAGUCAACUUUCUGUACAUUUUGAUGUAGAUCUUUUCUGACUGUUUUGGGCCUUUCCUUCAUAUCAAAUUGCAGAACUGCAAAAACGUGUAAGAAUUCUAAUGAAUUAGGACAAGAAAAUAAUGUACUUUUGAAAGGCAUUCUUGUAAGUAACUAAAGAAAUGUGUGUAACCAAAUCAAAAAUGCAAUGCUACAAAACAUGAAACAAGUAGGACAUAAAAAAUAGAUGUCAUGAAAAAAAAAGAAAACAAUGUUUGAUUAAACAAUUCUAUAUACACAAAUGUAAACACUAGAAUUGCUGUAAUGCUAAUAACUUUAAAUAAUCUUUAUAAUUAUUCAUAUUUAUAAUGUAUUUAUACUUGCUUUUGAUGUAUGAACCUUUUAAAAAAGUUUGAAAUGUUUGUCAAAAAAUCGAAAUAAUGAUUUAGCAUAGUCAAUUUAUCAACAUCAACUUUCUUAAUGAAUAUUUAUCAUAUAUUAUUUUCUUUAAUAUUUAUUUAAUUUAACUGGAAAACAGCAUUCAGCCAGAAAAAAUAUAACUUUCACGAGAUGGCUUGUGGGUGGCAAUCUGUGAGACCUGAAGCCAUCAAACAAAGAAGGUAAAGAGAUGUAAAAAGUAUGAGAUUGUAGAAGAAGGUAUUUGGAGACUGGUCCAGUGGGUUUUUAAUUAAAAUGUCAAUACUUAGCUACCCAAUUAGCUACUAUAAGGUUAUCCAUAACAUCUAUGUUGUAUCUUGAUGGCCACGGUUGUACACAUUUUAAAAUGAAAUAAACAAUAAAAGUCACU
Molecule: long non-coding RNA, 2136 nt
Organism: Osmerus eperlanus (European smelt)
Lineage: Eukaryota; Metazoa; Chordata; Actinopteri; Osmeriformes; Osmeridae
Exons: 4
Source: RefSeq, a predicted model, not a curated record